GGGGCGCCCGCGCGCGCGCGCGGGGCCAGGGCAGCGCGGUCCGGGCGCCGAGCAAGGAUGCGGAAAGGAUGUGGAAUUCCAUAAAAAUGGACAGUGAGCACCUGGCCAGAUUGGCCCUUUGACGCCGCCACCUCCGGUCUGCCCAUCGUUGUUUAUCUGAGGUUCUGCAUCAUCAAGAAGGAGACUGCAGGAGGAAGGCGAGCCAUACCUGGGAGCCCCUGAUGCUACCGAGUCUCAUCAGUGGAGCCGUGAACUUUCAUCACGUGGUAAAGAUGAUGUCUGUCAGAUUCCCCAGCUGCAGAGCCACGAUUUUCUUUUUGCAAUUAGUAACUUUAGGGUAGAGGGAUAUUUUGAGACAAUGCAAAGGUCCUGCUUCUUCUUAAACUUUUACCCACUAAUUUUAGCAUCGAUUGGUGUAUCUUGCCUCCAUGAUUUCUAUGGAAUUCUAAUGGAGAUUUUUUUUAUUUCCCCUCAUUCUUUUUUUCCAUGGGUUAAUUGGGUUUCUUUUGUAAGGAUACACUGUUCCUUUUCUCCCAUCUAUGUAUUUAUGACAUUAUUAACUUAUAUUUGUGCGAACUAAAAGACACUUAAUUCUUUGGGUUCUAAUCCAAUACUGUCAUUGUUCUGUUGCUCAAAUUGUUACCGUUUUGUUGUGUGUUUUUUUUAGGGCCUCACCUGCAGCAUAUGGAAAUUCCCAGGCUAGGGGUUGAAUCCGAGCUGUAGCUGCUGGCUUAAGGCACAGCCACAGCAACAUGGGAUCCGAGCUGCAUCUGUGACCUAUGCCACAACUUGUGGCAACACCAGAUCCUUAACCCAGUGAGUGAGGCCAGGGGUUGAACCGCAUCCUUGCAGACACCAUGUCAGGUUCUCAAGCUGCUGAGCCAUGAUGGGAACUCCCAAAUUGUUACAACUUUGGCCACUGGGAGCUCUGUCAGAUUGUUUCCUAUGCCUUUUCAAUAUUCCCCUACACUUCUGCCUUUUGCUUAUAUAAUUUAUUUAUAAUAGGACAUUUUAAAAUUUCAAUUAUCAACUGUUCUUUGCUAGUAUGUGGACAUACAGUGGACUUUUGUAUAUUUUAAAUGGGUUUCUUUUUUAUAUAAUGAUUUUUAUUUUUUUCUAUUAUAGUUGGUUUAUGGUGUUCUGUCAAUUUUCUACUAUACAGCAAGGUGACCCAGUCACACAUACAUGUAAACAUUCUUUUUCUCACAUGAUCCUGCUCCAUCACAAGUGACUAGAUAUAGUUCCCAGUGCUACACAGCAGCAUCUCAUUGCUUAUCCAUUCCAAAUGCAACAGUUUGCAUCUAUUAACCCCAGAUUCCUAGUCCAUCCCACUCUCUCCCCCUCCCCCUUGGCAACCACAAGUCUGUUCUCCAAAGUCCAUGAGUUUCUUUUCUGUGGAAAGGUUUAUUUGUGCCAUUUUUAGAUUCCAGAUAUAAGUGCUAUUAUAUGAUAUUAAAUGGGUUUCCUAUAAGCAACAUAUAAUUGAGCCUUGCCUUUUUUUUGGGGGGGGGGGGGGCACGCCUAUAGUAUUCAGAAGUUCUCAGGUCAGGGAUUGAACCUGCACCACAGCUCUCACGGCAACGCUGGAUCCUUAAGCCACUAGUGAGGCCCGGGGUCAACCCCGGGUCCGCAGGGAUAUUAGUCAUUACCAAUGAGCCACAACGGAAACUCCCUCUCCCUCUGUUUUAAAGAUGUGACCCACUGACUUCCUGCUCACAUGGUUUCGCAAAAGCUUAUACUCUCAUUUUCACAUGGUCCCUCCGUGGGUCUCGUUCUUCUCUGGCUGCAUUUAGGAUUUUCUCUUUAACUCUGGCUUCAUAAAAUUGAUCGUGAUAUA
Molecule: long non-coding RNA, 1837 nt
Filed under: Sus scrofa (pig)
Lineage: Eukaryota; Metazoa; Chordata; Mammalia; Artiodactyla; Suidae
Description: lncRNA (ENSSSCG00060005404.1)
Source: RNAcentral